UCAUUGCUGGAACAAACGCCCUCACGGGUGCUACCCAGAAACCCUUUGUGAAUUAUUCUCUAUUGUUGCCUCGGCGCAGACUGGCUUCGUACGAAGUCCCUUGUUGGCAACAGCAAGGAGCAGGUCGGCCGGUGGCCCUAUAAACUCUAUGUUUUUCUUGUAUCUUCUGAGUAAACAACUAUAAAUGAAUCAAAACUUUUAACAACGGAUCUCUUGGUUCUGGCAUCGAUGAAGAACGCAGCGAAAUGCGAUAAGUAAUGUGAAUUGCAGAAUUCAGUGAAUCAUCGAAUCUUUGAACGCACAUUGCGCCCGCUGGUAUUCCAGCGGGCAUGCCUGUUCGAGCGUCAUUUCAACCCUCAAAACCUCGGUUUUGGUGUUGGAGGACUACGCAGUAAAACGCGUAGCCUCUGAAAUUCAGUGGCGGGCUCGCUAGAAUUUUGAGCGUAGUAAUUUAUACCUCGUUUGUAAAGACUAGUGAUGCUUUUCUUGCCGUAAAACCCCCCAACUUUCUGA
This 513-nucleotide ribosomal RNA is filed under the name Gnomoniopsis aff. chamaemori BPI 877452A. RNAcentral's name for it is "eukaryotic LSU rRNA". The stretch from base 194 to 347 matches the Rfam family "5.8S ribosomal RNA". The record is from RNAcentral. Lineage: Eukaryota; Fungi; Ascomycota; Sordariomycetes; Diaporthales; Gnomoniaceae.